This is a non-coding RNA of Ictalurus punctatus (channel catfish), 527 nucleotides long. NCBI's taxonomy places the organism in Eukaryota, Metazoa, Chordata, Actinopteri, Siluriformes, Ictaluridae. The record is from the annotation of a RefSeq genome assembly.
CUGUGUCAGUGCUGCACACACUUUAAGAGCUGUAGUGCUGAUCAGAGUGUGUUCAGUCCUUUCAGAGCCACUGACACGCAGCACAAUGAUGAUGGUACUGAUUCUACUGCUGGGGACACUGGGACUCCUCGCUCACCAGUCCUUUGGGGAAAUCGUCCUGACUCAGUCUCCAGGAUCUCAGUCUGUUUCUCCAGGACAAUCUGUUACUCUCACCUGUACAUCCAGUCAGGGUGUUAGCAAUAACCUCAACUGGUACCUGCAGAAAUCUGGAGAAGCUCCUAAACUCCUGAUCUAUUAUGCAUCUAACCGUCAGUCUGGGAUUCCAGAUCGUUUCAGUGGCAGUGGAUCUGGUUCACAGUUUAGUCUUAAAAUCUCUGGAGUUCAGUCUGAAGAUGCAGGAGAUUAUUACUGUCAGCAGGGUAGCAGCUUUCCGUACACACAGUGUUAUAGCGCCGUACAAAAACCUCCCUCAGCUGUAGAGGAAGUGCUCUGACUCAGAAACACGCACUGAUCUGAGAACAGCUGCA